UUCACAGGGAGAUCAAGUAUUUUGCCCAAGAGCACACAGCUAGAGAGUGGAGAAGUCCGGAUUCAACCCAGACAGAUUGACUCCAGAGCGUGUGCUAUUCGUGGCUAUGCCAGAAUGCCCUGAUGGCCUCAGGUUUGCCUUGCCAACUGACAAAGGCGACUGUUUCCUACCCAUUGGCUCAGGUUAGAGGUUACCAUGACUGUGGAGACAGUUUUCUCGUGCCAUUCUCUCCUUCCUUAGACCACAGGGAAUGAAGCUGCACACACUGUUUAAUACAGAAAGCCAACAUAGAGGGUAGGAACCGUAUUGGUUUUAUUCAUCAAUGUAAAUUCAGUACCAAGCCCAGUGCCUGGUACACAGUAAGCACUCACUGAAUAUUUAUGGAAGAAACAACAAAUGAAUUCACUGAUUUUUAUCUAUUAAUUAUAUGGAAGUGAAUUCAGACUUCUUCAGGGUUAUGCUUAGCUUUACUUUUGAGAUGUAAACUAAGAAAAACGAGAUUCCACUAAAACCUUGUCACAUAUAUAUAUUUGGAAAUCUGUGAAAUGGUCAACCCCAAACCAAAAUUUACAUAAGAUUAACUUAUUACUUUCAAAUUUACAACCGAUGGAUUGUGGUGUGUGUGUGUGUGUAUGCGUGUGUUCCAUUUGUAGCAUGUGUAGUUGCUUUAUCUAAUAUGUACAUUCUCUAAUUCACAGAUGGUUCCAGCUUCCUACCCUUCCAGUUAAAAUAAACAAAAACGAGGGUCUUGAGUGUCUAUGAUUUUCAUAAGAUCUAUGGCGUUUCUUCUGCAGAUGAUCAACAGUUGCCUGCCUUGGACUUUGGAGUUCCCAAGAACUAGAAAAUCCAGGUCAGGAACUGUAUCUUUGCUCAGCCACCUGCAAACAGACUUGAGAACAAUGUAAACCACCCUCUGCAGGAUAUUGAUUCUGAUG
RNAcentral lists this long non-coding RNA (935 nucleotides) under Homo sapiens (human). Its description in RNAcentral is "novel transcript". Lineage: Eukaryota; Metazoa; Chordata; Mammalia; Primates; Hominidae. The record is from RNAcentral.